This 439-nucleotide ribosomal RNA is filed under the name uncultured bacterium. RNAcentral describes it as "partial 16S ribosomal RNA". It matches the Rfam family "Bacterial small subunit ribosomal RNA", at positions 339 to 795 of the family's 1533-position model. The record is from RNAcentral.
CUACGGGCCGCUGCAGUGAGGAAUAUUGCACAAUGGGGGAAACCCUGAUGCAGCAACGCCGCGUGGAGGAUGACGCAUUUCGGUGUGUAAACUCCUUUUAUAUGUCAAGAAAAUGACGGUAGCAUAUGAAUAAGCACCGGCUAACUCCGUGCCAGCAGCCGCGGUAAUACGGAGGGUGCAAGCGUUACUCGGAAUCACUGGGCGUAAAGGACGCGUAGGCUGGUUGGUAAGUCAGGUGUGAAAUCCUACAGCUUAACUGUAGAACUGCACUUGAAACUACCAGCCUAGAGUACGGGAGGGGGAGAUGGAAUUAGUGGUGUAGGGGUAAAAUCCGUAGAUAUCACUAGGAAUACCGAAAGCGAAGGCGAUCUCCUGGAACAUAACUGACGCUAAGGCGUGAAAGCGUGGGGAGCAAACAGGAUUAGAUACCCCGGUAGUC